GGCUAACUCUCUCUGACGACGAUAGACUAUUCUAGUAAUUAUAAUAUUUGAUUUUAGAUAUUAGAAACGUGGACAAGUAAGGUUAGCAGGAGGAGAUGUAACUGACUUAAGCUGGAGCAAUUUUUCAUUAAUCGCAGAAAAACAAUCAAUAUAUGCUGACAACUGUUUUGAUAUUUUUCAUGGGCAGAGCAAAUGUUAUCACUCAUCGUACCUUCUGAUGUAACUAAAUGGUCAAUACAAUUGUCGUGUCUUUGACUUUGGAGCUGGUUAUCUCUUAUUGCAAGAUUGAAAACGGUAUGAGUUUCCGUCUUAAGUAGAUGGAAGGAGGCAAUACACUUUAUGACAUUGUCAGAAGCGCGUCAAAUGUGUAAUCGACAUUUUGCGAAAAGACGAUUGUUUAUCUUUGAGGCAAGGAAAUUAGGUGAAAACGUAAUUUUGUGGUGAAAUGUCGAAGAUAUUCAAGAAGAAAAAACGACUCUUGACUAAGGUGCGGUCCAAUAUAAAAAUGAAUAUAUAGCAAAAACAUCGAAAAAUAUUUCGAAAUAUUCCGGAAUAAACCUAAACUCGGCUGGCUCCCAAAUGACAAGACAGGCAGAAUUUCGGCAUAAUAUAAAAGCUGCGUUUAUUUGGUUUGUUUGUUUACAAAUAGUGAGUUUAGUUGUCGUUGU
This is a long non-coding RNA of Musca domestica (house fly), 668 nucleotides long. RefSeq lists it as uncharacterized. The record is from RefSeq and is a predicted model, not a curated record. Lineage: Eukaryota; Metazoa; Arthropoda; Insecta; Diptera; Muscidae. The transcript has 3 exons.